This is a long non-coding RNA of Populus nigra (black poplar), 1389 nucleotides long. RefSeq lists it as uncharacterized. NCBI's taxonomy places the organism in Eukaryota, Viridiplantae, Streptophyta, Magnoliopsida, Malpighiales, Salicaceae. The record is from RefSeq and is a predicted model, not a curated record. The transcript has 2 exons.
GUCUCUGUGGUGAAUUCACCUGCAACAUGGCUAUGACAUGCUCUCUCUCCCAGAUCCUUUCACUACAAGCCAUCAAAUGCAUUAAAAAUCAGGUCAUCUUCGAAAAUUGAUGAAACAAAACUAAAUAUCACUCGAAUCCGUGCCAUGAAACGUUGCUUGAGAUGCAAUACUCUUUAUCUUGACAAAGAUAACUCCCCAACUGCCUGCUCUUUCCAUGGCCACACCACGGGGGAGAAGGGGUUAUACGCUUUGGCUCCACCACACCAGGGUAUUGACGGAGAGUGGAGUGACCGCUCUGGAGUGAUAGUGUAUAAAUGGAAUGACAAGAAUAAUAGACCAAAUACUGUAAGUGCUGAGUAUGAUGAAAAUGCUCCACCUUGUAGACGGGGGUGGCAUGUUUCAUAUGACGAUGGCUUCACUCUGUAUUAACCCAAAAAUUGUUUUGUUAGCUAAAUUCAGAAGCAUAAGUAACAAUUAAGGAUACAAUUUAGGAUGAGGGGAAAUGCAAGCAUCGAUGAAGUUUGCUCGGGUAAUGUCUGAUGUUUAGACAAAUUAGGCUUGGACAUUAAGGUAUAUCCUGUGCUUUUCUAUUUAUCUACAGUUUGAUUAACAAAUAUCAUUUUCUUGGAUAUUAAGUUCCGUGUAGUGUUUUUUCAUUCAAGAGGUAUGUGGCUGAACAUUUUCGUUUCCUUGUGGACAAGUAGAGCAAUUUGAUUGAUUUUUCCUUUUUGAUGUGCUCAGCAGCAACGAUUGCUUGCAAGGUGUAUUUGGAAUUGAUAUAAUAUCACUGAGGUUGAACAUGCUUUACUUUUAAGCUGGAAUUCAAAGUCUUCUAUUUCAGGAAAUCUACAAUUUGAGCUUUCAGACUACCCGGUGAUCAAAGAAACACAAAAUUCACUGCCAAUCUGUAAAUAUGUAUCCUGCUACCUGAGUUAAUGAUGCUGUUGCAUUGUCGGAGUGCUUUUUGAUAGAGAAUUGCAGCAGAAGCCAGAGGUCAUGCAAAGGCCAGUAGAGCAUGGGGAAUUCAUACAAUUAUGCAUGCCUGUCCAGCACAAAAGCUCAUGUUGCAGAGUAUCGUGUCUCUAUCCUUCCUUCACAUGGCUUAAUCUGGAUACUAGAAGCAAUUGAUGAAGAGCUAUAUAUCCAUGGUGAAUUCCUAAACUAUGGUAUUGUUAGGGUCAACACUAUGAAACAGAACAUCAUGCAAAUGAACCUUUUAAUGAUCACUUGAGAUCGGCCAGGUUUAUCUUUCAUGUUUUCAAUCCAACAGCUAAUUCUCUUUCUGAUUACCAAUAUGUUCACUUGUCAUGAUCUCAAUGAGCAGCUGUUCAUUUAAAAUUCCCUGCUGUAUAUAUAUUGCAAAUAAUAUAUAUCAUUACAUUUCCACAA